GAGCAGUAUGGUUUCAGGGAGAGGUGGGCGUGGCCUUGCUGUUAGGGGUGGAAAGCCAUGGGGCCUACUGGCUUGAUAAGGGGUAUGGGGGUCAAUACUCAACUGGUACCAGGGACUAAGGACAGUACACCUAUGUGUUCCUGACGCCUUCACUGACUUGCCCAGCUUCCAACAUUGUGAGUGUGGAGGUUGGAGGCUUUGUGUCAGGGGGGCAUUAACGUGUUCUCUGUUGAAGGAGGCUAUCACAGCAAUUGGCAGAGACAAGGGGACCACACGGCAAGAAAGGCUGGGUGGUCGCUCAGAGCACAGCAGAUUUUCGUUGUUGGCUUCAGGAAGACCAUCUCCUAGGGAGGGGAUGUCAGCCGGAAGAGCCAUGAGUUAACUGGAAGAUGGGAGCUUGCACCGCAGAGGCAGUGACUGCAGCGGAGUGACAAUCAAGGGACAGAGCAGAACCUGUGAGGUCAUCUUCAGAGCCACAUGCUCCUAGAGCCAUCAGAGGGUGCUGGAGAGAUCAGCUGUGUAAGAGACGGAGGUGGAGUGGUGGUGCAUGCAUGCAGUCCCAGCACUGGAGAGGCAGGGGAAGGAAGGCUAAGGUUCUAGUCUGCCUGGGAGCCACAGUGAGACCAUGCCUAAGGAAAGAACAAUGGUUCAACUUUGCAGUCAUCUACUUCUAGAACGCAGACCGAUUGACUCACAGCUUCUGUGAGGCACAGUUCACACAUGGCGCUGUCAGUGAAUCUGGAUGCAGUCGCAAAGCUGGGCAGCAUCGCCACAGUCCAUUCCUAAAGGAACACAGCCAUGAGCAGCCACUCUGCCUCCCUACCAUCACCCCAAGGCUACAAGCCGCUAAUCCCCUUUCUCUUUCUCCCUUUGACCAUGAUAGAAAUUGAGUAACGACCAGGGUCUAUCCAUGGAAUAGGAGCUAGCUUGCUGGAGCCCAUUCCCUAUGGUGGGAUACCAUGCUCAGCCUUAAUGCAGAGGGGAGGGUCCCUGCCCCAAUUUAAUGUGCCAGACUU
Molecule: long non-coding RNA, 1016 nt
Organism: Alexandromys fortis (reed vole)
Lineage: Eukaryota; Metazoa; Chordata; Mammalia; Rodentia; Cricetidae
Exons: 3
Source: RefSeq, a predicted model, not a curated record